CUGCCAGUCAAGGGGGAGGAGGAUUUUUUGAGUGAGUGAUGGUGAAAGCUCUGGUCCACAUAUGACAGAAGAAGUGACACCAACCACCAGAGGCUGCAGGCUGGGCUGAUUUGAUGUUGAACACAAUCAAGUUCCCAGCCUCCAUCUAAGCCCAUGUGCAUACAACCCCAUACUCCCACCAUGCCUAAGUGACUGUUCAGUUUCAGAUUACUGCCAAUUAAAACACAGAAGAAGAAGAGGUCCAGGAAGGAGAUCACAUUGCACCAAGGAGGAGUGACUGGAGGCGCUGCCGAAACACACAGUGCCAUCUAAUGGAGGAGCCACCGCGUGUAACCCGAGCAUCCAGGCGGGGAAAAACAAGUCCACACUGGAUCUGUGUCAAGCCACAAGCACACCAGGAAUUUUUCAACCAAUAGAUGAUUCCUGACAAAAACGUCAUCUCUAAGUUUAGCAUUUUUCAUUAUCAGGCUGCAUACGUGUGUAACUGCAGCAAAACCCAGGGGCUGAGGCUGCAUUCUCUUCUUUGGGGGUGCACUAUAGCAGGGUACCAGAGGAAAGCACACCAACACAAGCUGGUGACACAUUCUAAAACGUGCCAGACACCUACAGAAGGGUGGAGGAAAAAGAAUUAAGCUUCAGUGUUGCUCUCGUCUCCCCCAGAAUCAGCCCUCCCACGAGGCAGUAACAGCACACAGCACCCUGCCAUGGGUGCCUCUGCUCAGGGCUCUUGCAAGAUCCACCAUGGGCUGCAACUCCACAUCAGAAAAAAAGUGGUUCCUUCUAUAAAUACAAUUUGUGGGAAUGAAAUGGUAAUGAAAAGUCCUUAUAUGGUUUUUCAAACCCAAACCAUGUCAUAGCUGGGAGGGGAUUUGCAGGAGGUGUUAAAUUAGACAGUUAUUUUUAACUGCGGCUGGUUAAAAAAUAAAGAGAGAGAUUAAAAAAAAUAAAAAAGGAAAAAGAAAGAAUGUCUGCAUUUUUAAUAGAUAACAAAAAUUACAAUGGUACUUGUAUUCCAAAAUCCUCAAGCCUUAGAAAAAUAUCUUAGGAAGGCAAUACAAAUUGAAGUUCAUUAUACAAAUAAAAAGAAUGCUGAACAUUCAUAUGACAGACACAAAAAAAGGCCAAGAAAUAAACUUUUCUCAGUGGAAGAUUUGUUAAAAAUACCUCUAUAUUAGAAUGAUACCAGAAGACUAAUUUUGAGGCAAUUUUAAUCCUUGAUUCUCUAAUUAUUUUAGUCUUUGAAAUUUCAAAGUAUAACUGCAUAGGGUAAAAUAAUUUGGCAUUUUGAAAGUGCAUAAUAUCCUCCUGAUAGUUAGCAGAAUGUUUUUCAAAUUCAUAUGGCGAGAUACAUAAUGAUAUCAGCAUAUAUGACUAACAUGUAACUCACACCUGGGCUGCCACAUCCUUCUAGAAAUUAUAAGGAAGCUCUUUAUUUCAAAGAGCUUCCCUAACCUUAGAGUCCAGUGAUAAUAUAUUUAUAUGCCACAUUUUAUUCAAGGCUGAUUAAAUCCAUA
Long non-coding RNA from Passer domesticus (house sparrow), 1514 nucleotides. RefSeq lists it as uncharacterized. The record is from RefSeq and is a predicted model, not a curated record. The transcript has 3 exons. Lineage: Eukaryota; Metazoa; Chordata; Aves; Passeriformes; Passeridae.